RNAcentral lists this unclassified non-coding RNA (330 nucleotides) under soil metagenome. Its description in RNAcentral is "partial contains 5.8S ribosomal RNA, internal transcribed spacer 2, and large subunit ribosomal RNA". The stretch from base 1 to 120 matches the Rfam family "5.8S ribosomal RNA", at positions 35 to 154 of the family's 154-position model. The record is from RNAcentral.
GAUGAAGAACGUAGCGAAAUGCGAUACGUAAUGUGAAUUGCAGAAUUCAGUGAAUCAUCGAGUCUUUGAACGCACAUUGCGCCCCCUGGUAUUCCGGGGGGCAUGCCUGUCCGAGCGUCAUUAUAACCCCUCAAGCUUAGCUUGGUGUUGGGGCUUGCUGUAAUAGAGCAGCCCUUAAAAUCAGUGGCGGUGCCAUUAGGCUCUAAGCGUAGUAAUUCUUCUCGCUAUAGGGUUCUGGUGGAUGCUUGCCAUUAACCUCUAAUUUUCUAUGGUUGACCUCGGAUCAGGUAGGGAUACCCGCUGAACUUAAGCAUAUCAAUAAGCGGAGGA